CAGCAGCCGCGGUAAUACGUAGGGUCCGAGCGUUGUCCGGAAUUACUGGGCGUAAAGAGCUCGUAGGCGGCUUUGUAAGUUAGAGGUGAAAGCCCGGAGCUCAACUCCGGAACUGCCUUUGAGACUGCAUCACUUGAACGUCGGAGAGGCGAGUGGAAUUCCGAGUGUAGAGGUGAAAUUCGUAGAUAUUCGGAAGAACACCAGUGGCGAAGGCGGCCCACCGGACGUGUAUUGACGCUGAGGUGCGAAAGCGUGGGGAGCAAGCAGGAUUAGAUACCCCAGUAGUCCCUGUCUCUUAUAC
Molecule: ribosomal RNA, 301 nt
Filed under: uncultured bacterium
Lineage: Bacteria
Description: partial 16S ribosomal RNA
Rfam family: Bacterial small subunit ribosomal RNA
Source: RNAcentral